Molecule: long non-coding RNA, 1426 nt
Organism: Platichthys flesus (European flounder)
Lineage: Eukaryota; Metazoa; Chordata; Actinopteri; Pleuronectiformes; Pleuronectidae
Exons: 3
Source: RefSeq, a predicted model, not a curated record
CUACACUUCACGUGACUGCAUUUCUUGAGUGUAGUCAACUCCGUGACUUCACCUCAACACCCAGCUCUCUCUACUUCUCUGCACACUCCCCUGUGGAUUCUGUAUUUCUAAUGGGAGUGUGGAGGGGAGCAUUUUUGACUUCAUGAUUUCUUUUCCUGUCUCCCUUUCUCCUCGCUGUCUCUCCUUCUUGGCAGCGGGGCAAAAGUGGGCAGGCAGAGAGGAGGGCAUGGCCCAGAAACUGCUCUCAAGCCCCAGCCCCUGUUCGAGUGGGGUUCCUUGCUGGUGUACUACUCAGCCUUUCCCUCGUCUUGCAGGCGAAAGAAAGGGAUGUGGAUGCAUUCUUGUCUCCUUUCUAACCCGCCGUUUUUUUGGGGGGGUUUCCACCAUGGCCUUCUUUUGCGGGCCUGACCCGAACUAAAAAAAGUAACCUCCAGUUUGACUGAUGCGUUUCCACUGCUGCCUGCAUACAUCUCUGUCCUUAAGGCUGAGGAGACAGGCUGAGCUGCUGCGAUGCACACGAGGAGCUCCAUGGAUGAAGGAACUCAAGAACCAAGUACUCAACUCUGCUUUGUCUGUGAUCUCUUCAGGGGAGACUUUACUUUAAAGCUGCAGGUUUGGAACAUGUUCAUAAUUAAGCACGUAUUGAGUGAGAACUCAUGUUUCAAGAUGCUGUGCUUGAAGUUGAGCCUAGCAAGGUGAGGUAGUAGGUUGUAUAGUUUAUGGGAUGGAGUCAAUCCUACUCAGGCGUUAACUAUACAGUCUAUUACCUUCCUUGAGAGGUACAAUGUGUGCUUGGGCGGAAGCUACUGCUCUUAUGGCGAAGGAGCCACUCUGGUGCCACCUAGUGGCUAAAGACUAUCCUCACCCUGGAAAUGAUCUGAGCUUCCUCUCUGUUGUGUGUACGAGGAGAUGUUUUCUGAAAUCAACCUGAAGAUGAAAGUAUCUAUUAGUCCUUUUGAUCUAAGAGGAAGUUGUUAGGCAUUUCAGCACUAGAAGUAGAUCCUGAGAGAUGUUGGAAGACCAGAAGACACAAACACAAACUCACGGUCUGUAUUCUUUUGUGUAAACAGAACAAUAAAGAACAUAUUUAAUGGCCGUUUCAAUUUUCUCAACAAUAAAUCAAAACAACCCAUAACUACGGAGUCGACUGAUGGAAUAAAAUCUAUGUGGUUGAUGUUUGCAGUCUCACAAUCAUUUGUCAAAUCCAAUACAUUCAAUAAUCUGCAACAACUACAAUAAACCCAAAUAAGAAGGUAGUUGAUAACUGCUGAAUUAAAUCACUGACAUAUGGUGAAGUACAACUGAAUUUGUUUGCAGUAAAAAUAUCACAUGCUGACAGUAUUUGGUGCCUCAAACAAAAUCCAAUGUUUUCAUUUGUUUCACAUAUGAAUUAAGAUGCAGUUUAUAAAAUACCAAUUUGAAAUCA